Molecule: non-coding RNA, 2917 nt
Filed under: Pan troglodytes (chimpanzee)
Lineage: Eukaryota; Metazoa; Chordata; Mammalia; Primates; Hominidae
Source: RNAcentral
AUUCCCUUCAGCUUCAGGAGUGAGUUGAUUAUUCACAUGUUCUUUUUAGGGGGUUUAAGCUGCUAGUCCUUAAAGAAUAGAUGCUGAAGGUUGUCAUUGAUUCCUCUUUUCUUUCCUCCCAUGUCUGCUCUGGGCCUUCUCAUUGAUGUAGUAUCUUAGGUUACUUCCAAAAUAAUUUGAGAAACGGAUUUAUAGAAGAAGCUAGCUUUCCAGUAGAACAGUUUAGAUGACAAGAUUAAUGUGAUAAGAACUAAGAAAGCCCUUCCUAGUUUUCAUUGAAAAUGUGUUUUUAAUGCCCAGAGGUGCCCAGUCAAAAAGGAAAUAUUACAGAAGGAUUAUUUUCUUCAGCAGAGUUCUUGGGCAUUGCAAGUUCCAGUGUAAUUAGGGAAAUCACAUGCGAGUACAUCAAUACACUUCAGAUGCCAAUACAUUGGGCUUAAUGAGGACAGCAAGCCUGCUUUUAUUAGGGGAUUGAAUAAAAGUGAAAGGAGUUCUUGAAAAGAAUUGGUAAUUUUGGAUGGGAUAAUUCAUCACUUCACUCCAGAUCAGUUUUUCACAGUAAGAAGUGCUGGCUCUUCAGAAAAUUUGGCAUAACCAAAGUUUAUUGUCACUAUCUCCUCCUUCUCACAUUGUCCUUUGUCACACCCCCAGCAGGUCCACAGUGAUCCUGCAGGCCACCCCCAUGGACCCUGCCCAUUUUCUUCCAUCGGGGGCUAUCUUACAUCAAUCUUUCAAGGUCUCCUCAGUAAUGCAGGCCAGUUGGAUUUUUGCUUUCUUUUCCCAGAGGACAAUUCAGCCUCAGCGUCUUAGUCUAAAAGGAUUCAUGCAAGCGUGUCAGAUGUUUUAUUAGGCUAAGGGGGAGGUAUUUCGGGUUGUGGGGAGCACUUAAUGCAACCCUGUAUGACAUUCCCUACUCAGUGAUGUUCAGGCUGCACGGGCCAACAUGGAAAGGGCUUAAGGGAGAUGACAAAAACAAAAUCUCUUCUUCCACAAAGAUUUUCAGUUGAUCAAUUUUGUUACUUUUUUGUGAUGAAACUACCUGCACUGCAGCUAAUGAUUUUUUUCUGAAGGUGGAAAAGGUAGGAGCAACAGCUUUCAGUUCUAAGGAUACAUUCUGUUGACCUUCAUAAGCCCUAGGAACUAGAGGGGCAAGAUUGAGGCGGAAAUAGAGAGAAUAAUUUGCUCUAUAGUAUUUUACCCCUGAGCUGCCAUCUGGGGCUUUCAGAGCUUAGCACUGCACUCUUGCAAUGUUGCACACACCACAGGAGCAAUAUCAAGAGAUGUCAAACAUGAGUGGUAUUGGUCACUGGAAACAGCAGAUUCCAAAUAGCUGUCUCACCAGACUGUUCUUUCAGAAGAUUCAUUUGUGCCAACUACUUCUUUGUCAUGGAUCCUUCCUGGUUCUGCAACACAGAUGUGGAAAGUGAAGAGAACACGUCAUGGAAUUCCAUUUCUAAGAGUGGAAAAUAUACAAUUUACCAUGGGAUGUUUAAGAUAUUAAUAUAUUGUUCACCAUGUGUAUCCAGAGCUUUAGUAGAAGUAGGUUGAAAGAGCCAUGCAUGUAUACACGGUGCUCCUCAUUGUCAAACGCUGAAGCCUGUUACAGGCUGGGUUUGGGGGCUGGGGGUACUUACGGGACAAAGUCUGACUCUCGGUCUGUAGGCUGAGUGCCUUCUUAGUGUAUUGGGACUCAGCAUGUAUUCACCCCAUCUGUACUCACAAGCCUAAUUCAUUAAUCAGGAUGACUUACUGGGCUGUGAGCCCUUUGAGGACAGGACCUUGUACCUUUAUCUUGUGCCUCUCAUGCCUAGCAUAGCACCAGGCAUGUAACACAUUCUUUUUAAAAAAGUGUUUUACAGCUUUAUCAAGGCAUACAUGAUGUCAGAUCAACUGCAUGUGUUUAAAGUUUUACACUUGAUGAGUUUUGAUAUAUGUCUAUACCCGUGAAACCAUCACUGCAAUCAAGAUAAUAAACACAUUCAUCCACCCUAAAGUUUCUCGUGUCCCUUUGCAAGCUGCCCCCCUUCCUCCCAUUGUUCCCAGACAACCACUAUUCUGCUUUCUGUCACUGCAGAUGAGUUUGUGUUUUCUGGAAUUUUAUAUAAGUGGAAUCAUACAACAUGUACUCUGUUUUUCUGGCUGUUUUCACUCAGCAUAAUUUUCUCAAGAUUCAUUGAAGUUCUAUAUAUUAAUAGUUUGCUACAUUUCAUUGCUGAAUAGUAUUCCAUUGUAUAAAUCAUAAUAGGCACCUAACAAGUGUUUGUGGCUUUACACUGACUUGAAAAUUAAUUUUUAAGAAUAUAAUUGGGCGAAAAGUGGACAAUGGGAUACCACUCUAUUCUUGGUGAGUGGGUUCACUCAGGAAGUGGAAAUAAGAAUCAGGAGAUAAUUUGGCAUGGUAGAGACUUUUGUUGUCAUCCAAUAUCUAUUUUUCCUUCUUUCUUAGUACUAGAAUACCUGAGUUUUGGCUGGGCACAGAACUGUCUGGAAUACAGACUGCAAUUCCCAGCCUUCUGUGCAGUUCUGUGUGGCCAUGUGACUAAGUUGUGGUCAAUAUGAGUCACGGAAGAAUAGAAGAACAACUCAGAGGAGGAAGAAGUCAGACAUAGCCAGACACGGCUGCUAGCAGUUCCACCAAUGAAAGAGGAGACCAGGAUGUUUAAAACAGGCAAACACAAGGUGCGAAAAACCAGAAGCGAAAACUUCUGAGGUCAUUUAAGCAGGGACUAUCGUUAUCCCCGGAAGCAGAGAGAAGUUCAAUCCUUUGCCCAACAUCACACUGCAAGCAUGUGUUGGAGCUGAGAUUCAAACCCAGGCAUCCAGGGUCCAGGGCCCAUGCUCUUAAUAUAUUCCAUAUCUUAGGAGAAUUUCCCCUAUUUAAGCAAUAAAAGUGCAAAAAUCUUGUGGCUAGCCAAAA